This 770-nucleotide ribosomal RNA is filed under the name uncultured Fidelibacterota bacterium. RNAcentral describes it as "bacterial SSU rRNA". It matches the Rfam family "Bacterial small subunit ribosomal RNA", at positions 108 to 861 of the family's 1533-position model. Lineage: Bacteria; Pseudomonadati; Fidelibacterota. The record is from RNAcentral.
GAGUAACACGUAGGUAACCUGCCUUGAAGAUUGGGAUAACUCCGGGAAACCGGAGCUAAUACCGAAUAAUGCAGCGAAUCCAUAGGGAUAUGUUGUUAAAGCGGGCUUCGGCUCGCACUUCGAGAUGGGCCUGCGGCCGAUUAGCUUGUUGGUGAGGUAAUGGCUCACCAAGGCGAUGAUCGGUAGCUGGUCUGAGAGGAUGAUCAGCCACACUGGGAUUGAGAUACGGCCCAGACUCCUACGGGAGGCAGCAGUGGGGAAUUUUGCGCAAUGGACGAAAGUCUGACGCAGCAACGCCGCGUGAUUGAUGAAGCUUUUAGGAGUGUAAAGAUCUGUCGUGAGGGAAGAAAAACCUGGAUGUAAAUAAUGUUCAGGCGUGACGGUACCUCACAAGAAAGCACCGGCUAACUUCGUGCCAGCAGCCGCGGUAAUACGAGGGGUGCUAGCGUUGUCCGGAAUUACUGGGCGUAAAGGGUCCGUAGGCGUCUUGACAAGUUGAUUGUUAAAUCCACCGGCUCAACCGGUGAGCUGCGGUCAAAACUUGCAGGAUAGAAUAUGUGAGAGGAAAGUAGAAUUCCUGGUGUAGCGGUGACAUGCGUAGAUAUCAGGAGGAACACCAAUGGCGAAGGCAGCUUUCUGGCACAAUAUUGACGCUGAGGGACGAAAGCGUGGGGAGCGAACAGGAUUAGAUACCCUGGUAGUCCACGCCGUAAACGAUGAGUACUUGGUGGUGGGAGAUUCGACCCUCUCACUAUCGGAGCUAACGCGUU